AGGGACAAUCUGCCAUCUCAGUGGAUGAUACAUUAAAAAUCAUAGCAUGCAGGGAACAACAGAAGAAGUUGUUGGCGCUUGAGAUGGACUUGGCUGCUGCUAGGCAGGAGGGUUUUAUGGUGAAGCAUUCUAGAGAGAAUAAUGAAACAAAGAUCCCCUUGGUCGUAAUUGGAGUCAUCACCAGAUUUGGCCGCAAAAACAAUAGAGAUGCAAUUCGUAAAGCAUGGAUGGGAACUGG
Molecule: unclassified non-coding RNA, 238 nt
Filed under: Hevea brasiliensis (rubber tree)
Lineage: Eukaryota; Viridiplantae; Streptophyta; Magnoliopsida; Malpighiales; Euphorbiaceae
Source: RNAcentral